Long non-coding RNA from Lactuca sativa (garden lettuce), 1467 nucleotides. RefSeq lists it as uncharacterized. The record is from RefSeq and is a predicted model, not a curated record. Lineage: Eukaryota; Viridiplantae; Streptophyta; Magnoliopsida; Asterales; Asteraceae.
UCUAGUUACUUCCCUCCACCUAAGUUACUUUAAACUCUCAUCCACCGCAUUUUCUCAAUCCACAUAACUUUCAACCGCUUGGAAUGUCGGCAAUCAAGUUUCUUCUUCCCACCGCUCCCUAGGCUUCUCCAAACCUUCUCCUCUCUUUCUUUUGAAAGAAAUUGACACAAAGAGGCUAAAAAUUGAACUCAUGGGAGUUCUAAGUUCUCGGUUCCUCUAUGAUACCACCGGAGAGUGCAGUCGAUCGAUCGCUUAGUUCGCUUCUUCGAUUCCGCCAUAGCCGACGCCGCCGAGUCCGCCUCCACCACAUAACACUCCGAUGAGUCUGCCUCCACCAUUACAGAAGUCAGCGACAUCCACAGCCGACGAGUCCUGCUUCGAUGUCGGAUACAUUCAAUGCCAAUAAUUCCUAGGACGGGGCUUUCUAGUGAUGCAACACCUCGACUGGAUUUUCUUCUGGAUUUGGAUUUUCCGAUUUUGGGAUUACCUCAAUUGUUGUUGUCAGGAUCUGAUUGCUAGAGUUUGAUCCCGUCUCCUUUUGUAUUCAAUCGAUGGAAAACAAGUCGCAAGGCAGAUACCUUCUCGCCACCACCAUCAGAUAUUGGACAUAGAAGGCAGCGAAAGGUGGUCAUUUUUUCCCUCCUUAAACCUUUACAAAGUUGAUUCAUCUAUAGUCUUUCAAAUAUGAGGCUAUCUGGGUUUUUCUAAGGUGUCGAUUUGUUUUGUAUUUCAACGAAAUUGAACAAAUUCUAUUCUUUUACAAAAGCAUGAUCGCGACUAUGGGAAGAGAAGUUGGUCAGACUCUAUUACCCAUAUUUGUUAUAGAAGGUUAGAAACAAUGAUGAAAUUGAAGAUCAAUAAUACAAAAGAUGUCAAGUCUACUGAAGACGAAAUAUGGAGGGAUCUCUUGGGAAAGGAGAUCAGCUGGAUGGAGAAAGCAUGUCGAGAAAAGGAGAUGAUGAUGAGGUUUUAUUCUGCAAGUCCAUGAUACUUUGGAUUCAUAGAAUCCGGGAAGGAACAGAAAGGUUCAUUUCAUAACAUUAUGGUAUAAUAACACACCAUUUAUAACGUGUUACAUGUUCAACUAUGCCGAUCCACCGACUACUAUUUCCUUUGGUGCUAUUUUGAGAGAGGCAUCAGGUUGCUGCAAAGAGAGAAUGCAUUUUAUUUUCUAUAGUUCGACUAUUAAUUGAUUAAUAUUAUUUUCUCCUUUCGCUCCUCAUGAAAUUUUCUUUUGUAAUAUGCGACAGGUACCUGAUGGUUAUUCCCAUGUAUGGCACCCAUAAAUUUCUCAUGUAAAAAACCUGGUGGCUGCUAUUUGCAAUGCAUGCAUUAUAAGCACAUUUUGUACAAAGCAAUGCUAUAGUAUCACUUUAAUACAUUGUGGAGCAUAUAUCUAUAAUUCAUUCUCAUUCACUUUGUCAGAUUUAACUGCAAAAUUAUGAAUAUAGUUACCGCUUUCAAUUA